GACGAACGCUGGCGGCGCGCCUAACACAUGCCAGUCGAACGAGCGAGAGAGAGCUUGCUUUCUCGAGCGAGUGGCGAACGGGUGAGUAACGCGUGAGGAACCUGCCUCAAAGAGGGGGACAACAGUUGGAAACGACUGCUAAUACCGCAUAAGCCCACGUCUCGCCAUCGAGGAGGGGGAAAAGGAGCAAUCCGCUGUGAGAUGGCGUCGCGUCCGAUUAGCUAGUUGGUGGGGUGACGGCCCACCAAGGCGACGAGCGGUAGCCGGACUGAGGUGUUGAGCGGCCACAUUGGGACUGAGACACGGCCUAGACUCCUACGGGAGGGAGCAGUGGGGAAUAUUGCACAAUGGGGGAAACCCUGAUGCAGCGACGCGGGGUGGAGGAAGAAGGUCUUCGGAUUGUAAACUCCUGUUGUUGGGGAAGAUAAUGACGGUACCCAACAAGGAAGUGACGGCUAACUACGUG
This 466-nucleotide ribosomal RNA is filed under the name uncultured bacterium. RNAcentral describes it as "partial 16S ribosomal RNA". It matches the Rfam family "Bacterial small subunit ribosomal RNA", at positions 28 to 507 of the family's 1533-position model. The record is from RNAcentral.